RNAcentral lists this ribosomal RNA (468 nucleotides) under uncultured bacterium. RNAcentral's name for it is "partial 16S ribosomal RNA". It matches the Rfam family "Bacterial small subunit ribosomal RNA", at positions 28 to 507 of the family's 1533-position model. The record is from RNAcentral.
GACGAACGCUGGCGGCGUGCUUAACACAUGCAAGUCGAACGGAAAGGCCCUGCUUUUGUGGGGUGCUCGAGUGGCGAACGGGUGAGUAACACGUGAGUAACCUGCCCUUGACUUUGGGAUAACUUCAGGAAACUGGGGCUAAUACCGGAUAGGAGCUCCUGCUGCAUGGUGGGGGAUGGAAAGUUUCGGCGGUUGGGGAUGGACUCGCGGCUUAUCAGCUUGUUGGUGGGGUAGUGGCUUACCAAGGCUUUGACGGGUAGCCGGCCUGAGAGGGUGACCGGCGACAUGGGGACUGAGAGACGGCCCAGACUCCUACGGGAGGCAGCAGGGGGGAAUAUUGCACAAUGGGCGGAAGCCUGAUGCAGCAACGCCGCGUGCGGGAUGACGGCCUUCGGGGUGUAAACCGCUUUCGCCUGUGACGAAGCGGGAGUGACGGUAAUGGGUAAAGAAGCACCGGCUAACUACGUG